Molecule: ribosomal RNA, 178 nt
Filed under: uncultured bacterium
Lineage: Bacteria
Description: partial 16S ribosomal RNA
Rfam family: Bacterial small subunit ribosomal RNA
Source: RNAcentral
GAAGCUGGAAUUGCUAGUAAUGGCAGGUCAGCAUACUGCCGUGAAUACGUUCCCGGGCCUUGUACACACCGCCCGUCACACCAUGAGAGUUGGGAAUACCCGAAGCCUGUGAGCUAACUUUUAGAGGCAGCAGUCGAAGGUAGAAUCAAUGAUUGGGGUGAAGUCGUAACAAGGUAAC